CCAGGAUCUCGUAGCAUCAUCACCCAAAUUAUCAACUAACUAGUUUCUGAAAACCUUAGAGAGUUAGUCUGUUUGAACUGGACUGAAAGCAGACUUUUCAAGUGAGAUCAUCAUAUUACUGUUCUUACACAGCACACAGUAGACAACAAGGCCCAAAGGACUGGAGUCAACACCCAGAAGAGCUGUCAGUCUAGCACUUAGGGCAAGGAGCAACAGACCCAUAAGCAGAGAAACGAUCAGCCUCAGAUCUGCUCAGCUGCUGUCUCCCUCCUGUGAUUCCUCAUCCUAUGUGAUGUCUGAAGUGCAGCAGCCAUCUCGCUCUGGUGAGACUACCAUACAAGUAUGAAGAUUGCUGUGUUACAGAUGACGGAGCAGAGAUGCCGAAAUAUACGGCUGUGCAGCUGAAACA
Molecule: long non-coding RNA, 409 nt
Organism: Chinchilla lanigera (long-tailed chinchilla)
Lineage: Eukaryota; Metazoa; Chordata; Mammalia; Rodentia; Chinchillidae
Exons: 3
Source: RefSeq, a predicted model, not a curated record